AUUGAACGCUGGCGGCAUGCUUUACACAUGCAAGUCGAACGGUAACAGGCCUUCGGGUGCUGACGAGUGGCGAACGGGUGAGUAAUGCAUCGGAACGUACCCAGAGGUGGGGGAUAACGCAGCGAAAGCUGUGCUAAUACCGCAUGUGAUCUGAGGAUGAAAGCGGGGGACCGAGCAGCAAUGUUUGGCCUCGCGCCUUUGGAGCGGCCGAUGUCGGAUUAGCUAGUUGGUGGGGUAAAGGCCUACCAAGGCGACGAUCCGUAGCUGGUCUGAGAGGACGAACAGGCAAAAUGGGAAUGAGGAAAGGGCCAGAAUCCGUAGGGAGGCAGCAGUGGGGAAUGUUGGACAAUGGGCGCAAGCCUGAUCCAGCAAUGCCGCGUGCGGGAAGAAGGCCUUCGGGUUGUAAACCGCUUUUGGCAGGAACGAAACGGUGUCCGCUAAUACCGGGCGCUAAUGACGGUACCUGCAGAAUAAGCACCGGCUAACUACGUG
This 492-nucleotide ribosomal RNA is filed under the name uncultured bacterium. RNAcentral's name for it is "partial 16S ribosomal RNA". It matches the Rfam family "Bacterial small subunit ribosomal RNA", at positions 29 to 507 of the family's 1533-position model. The record is from RNAcentral.